Molecule: transfer RNA, 62 nt
Filed under: Monotoma quadricollis
Lineage: Eukaryota; Metazoa; Arthropoda; Insecta; Coleoptera; Monotomidae
Description: tRNA-Cys
Source: RNAcentral
GGUUAUAUAUUCAAUUAUGAUUUUAAAUUGCAAAUUUAAAGGUAAAGUAUUUUUUAUAGCCU